This 500-nucleotide RNase P RNA is filed under the name Anaerolineaceae bacterium. RNAcentral describes it as "RNase P RNA component class A". It matches the Rfam family "Bacterial RNase P class A". Rfam says of the family: Ribonuclease P (RNase P) is a ubiquitous endoribonuclease, found in archaea, bacteria and eukarya as well as chloroplasts and mitochondria. Its best characterised activity is the generation of mature 5'-ends of tRNAs by cleaving the 5'-leader elements of precursor-tRNAs. Lineage: Bacteria; Bacillati; Chloroflexota; Anaerolineae; Anaerolineales; Anaerolineaceae. The record is from RNAcentral.
UGGGUCGACCGGGCGAUCGCAAGCGGUUUAGACCGCCUGAGGAAAGUCCGCGCUCCACAGAGCUCGGUGCCGGGUAACGCCCGGGUGGGGAAACCCACGGAAAGGACCACAGAAAAUGACCGCCUGGUCGAUGGGACGUGGCGAAGGCUCCCUUUGUCAUGGACCUCAUUCGAUCAGGUAAGGGUGAAAAGGUGGUGUAAGAGACCACCGGCGUUGGCAGUGAUGUCAGCGGCCAGGCAACCCCCAUCGGGAGCAAGGCCAAGCAGGAGUGAAGUCCGCAUGCGGACGGGAGGUUGCUCGCCUUCCUUGAGCUCCGGGUAGGCCGCAUGAGCCUCACGGUGACGUGUGUGCCGAGAUAGAUGAUCGCUCAGAUCGACCUCUGAGGGAUGAAGGGUAAACUCUGAAAAUACGUCGAACUAGCCUAGCGGUUUGGCAAAGAGUGAGCCCGUAAACCGCAGAUGUCUUUCGGACAGAACGCGGCUUAUAGGUCGAACCACAGU